This 536-nucleotide ribosomal RNA is filed under the name Neolissochilus soroides. RNAcentral describes it as "partial 16S ribosomal RNA". It matches the Rfam family "Bacterial large subunit ribosomal RNA", at positions 1918 to 2605 of the family's 2925-position model. Lineage: Eukaryota; Metazoa; Chordata; Actinopteri; Cypriniformes; Cyprinidae. The record is from RNAcentral.
ACAAGUUCAACGGCCGCGGUAUUUUGACCGUGCAAAGGUAGCGCAAUCACUUGUCUUUUAAAUAGAGACCUGUAUGAAUGGCUAAACGAGGGCUUAACUGUCUCCCCUUUCAAGUCAGUGAAAUUGAUCUACCCGUGCAGAAGCGGGUAUAACAAUACAAGACGAGAAGACCCUUUGGAGCUUAAGGUACAAAACUCAACCACGUCAAACAACUCAAUAAAAAGUAAAAACUUUGUGAAACAUGAGACUUUACCUUCGGUUGGGGCGACCACGGAGGAAAAAUAAGCCUCCAGGUGGACCGGGACAGACUCCUAAAACCAAGAGAGACAUCUCUAAGCCACAGAACAUCUGACCAAACAUGAUCCGGUCACCAGGACCGAUCAACGAACCAAGUUACCCUAGGGAUAACAGCGCAAUCCCCUCCCAGAGUCCAUAUCGACGAGGGGGUUUACGACCUCGAUGUUGGAUCAGGACAUCCUAAUGGUGCAGCCGCUAUUAAGGGUUCGUUUGUUCAACGAUUAAAGUCCUACGUGAUC